GUAAUACUCCCUCCGUUCCAAAUUACUCGUCGCAGAAAUGAAUGCAUCUAGAACUAAAAUAUAUCUAGAUAUAUCCAUAUCUACGACAAGUAAUUUGAAACGGAGGGAGUACUAG
Molecule: non-coding RNA, 115 nt
Organism: Triticum aestivum (bread wheat)
Lineage: Eukaryota; Viridiplantae; Streptophyta; Magnoliopsida; Poales; Poaceae
Source: Rfam